AGAAAAUAAGGGCAUGAAAGGAAAGCACUGCAGAGCAAAACCUACUGUUUUGAAUGUCCUGGAGUUGUUCAUCCUCUGAAAAGGAAAACAGGACAUGAAAACAAUUUAAAGAAAACCUUCAAACAGUCAAAGCCAGGCUGGUGUGGAGAUGUACUGUAAACUCAGGCAGGCAGCCCUGGACCUGAGAGUCCCUGAGCAUCAUGAGCAUGUCCUUAUAUCACAGCCACUGACUGUGGGAAUCACAUACUGUGCUGGAGACCAAAGCACAGGACAGCUCGGCACGGUCACCUCUACACCAUGUGGGAUGUACUCAGCUUCACAGCUCCAGCCCUACCCCUUGAACCAUACCAGAGUGCAGCUGUACUGCUGGAGGCUGUGAAAUAACUGAAGCCGACGGAAAGGUGAAGUGCUGGGAGAGAUGAAGGAGGCGCGUUUGAAGGCAUUUUCUUCCUUUUUGUCACAUCUCACCGCAAAGCUUUUAAUUCCUGGAGCUCGGCUCCUUCCUGGAAAGCCUGAGCUGCUGUGAUGGAGGGGGUGGGCUCUGCGGGGUGGGGGUCCCACCAGCUGCAGCAGGGGCAGGAGGAAGGAGCUCUCAGCCCCAUCCCCACCUCUUGGUCCCUGGGACGUGCCCAGCAGAGCUCGUGCAGGAACAGCCACCGAGGAGGAGGACACAUUCCCUCCCGGUGCCACCAGGCCAUGUGGUGUGUGGAGAGCACAUCACUGGCAGCAGGGUGCCAUGAGUGAGGAAGGACCCAGCGGUUGGGUAUUUUUUUUCUGCACCCAUAUAGAGUUACCAUAGUCCGGGUAUCAGCGCAUCCCUCUCCCUAACAGAGGGUUAGCAAGAAGCAUCAAACAGAAUUCACAAUGUGAGAAAGCAUCUGAAAUCAAAUUUUCUUCUUUGGAGGGGAAAAAUAUCUUUUUUUUUUUCUUCUUUUUUUUUAAGGAAAAACGGUGAUUGGAAACUUGACUUUUCCUUGUACUGAAUUUGUCUGCCUUGGGAUAGCUGCGUACUCUGCUAGUCCAACUGCAUUUUUCACUCUUAAAUAAUGAAAGCCACAGCACAGCUCCAGGAGUGGGGGUACCUGGGGGAAGCGUAAUAAAAUCGCAACAGCAGAGAUGCCA
RNAcentral lists this long non-coding RNA (1122 nucleotides) under Anas platyrhynchos platyrhynchos (common mallard). RNAcentral describes it as "lncRNA (ENSAPLG00000020210.1)". The record is from RNAcentral. Lineage: Eukaryota; Metazoa; Chordata; Aves; Anseriformes; Anatidae.